AGAGCGAACGCUGGUGGCAUGCUUAACACAUGCAAGUCGCACGGCAUGGGGGCGACCCUGUGCAGUGGCGGACGGGUGAGGAACGCGUAGGAAUCUGUCCUGUGGUGGGGGAUAACUGUGGGAAACUGCAGCUAAUACCGCAUGAAGCCUGAGGGCUAAAGGCGCUGACGCGAGUUGGUGUCGCCGUGGGGGGAGCCUGCGUCCGAUUAGCUAGUUGGUGGGGUAAAGGCUUACCAAGGCGUCGAUCGGUAGCUGGUCUGAGAGGAUGAUCAGCCACACUGGGACUGAGACACGGCCCAGACUCCUACGGGAGGCAGCAGUGGGGAAUAUUGGACAAUGGGCGCAAGCCUGAUCCAGCAAUGCCGCGUGGAUGAAGAAGGUCUUCGGAUUGUAAAGUCCUUUCGGCGGGACGAUGAUGACGGUACCCGCAGAAGACGCCCCGGCUAACUUCGUGCCAGCAGCCGC
RNAcentral lists this ribosomal RNA (465 nucleotides) under uncultured bacterium. RNAcentral's name for it is "SSU rRNA". It matches the Rfam family "Bacterial small subunit ribosomal RNA", at positions 26 to 518 of the family's 1533-position model. The record is from RNAcentral.